This is a long non-coding RNA of Pecten maximus, 334 nucleotides long. RefSeq lists it as uncharacterized. The record is from RefSeq and is a predicted model, not a curated record. Lineage: Eukaryota; Metazoa; Mollusca; Bivalvia; Pectinida; Pectinidae. The transcript has 3 exons.
UAGACGUACAGGGGGCCAAGCCCAGGACUGGGUCCAUACACUGGGUAGUGUACAGGUGGUGGGAUGAAGACAGCAGGCCUUCCCAGUCCUGUACAUUCACAAUUGAAACUGGACAGAAGUUUUGCUACAUACAUCUUCGGACCCCUGGUCAGACUGUUUUGGCCUCUUGACUGCCACAACGGGAGACAUUGAUGUGUCCAUCUCAUGCUGAAACAGACAGUGGAGCAUCAGCAUUACCUGGUUAGUGAGGGCUAGUCGGGUGGUGUCAUAUCCCAUCAUGCUCAGUAAACACUUUGAAAAUAAACUCCAUUCUGAUUGGUUGCCAAGUCCCCCA